ACGCACGCUGGCGGCGUGCUUAACACAUGCAAGUCGAACGGAAAGGCCCUGCUUUUGUGGGGUGCUCGAGUGGCGAACGGGUGAGUAACACGUGAGUAACCUGCCCUUGACUUUGGGAUAACUUCAGGAAACUGGGGCUAAUACCGGAUAGGAGCUCCUGCUGCAUGGUGGGGGUUGGAAAGUUUCGGCGGUUGGGGAUGGACUCGCGGCUUAUCAGCUUGUUGGUGGGGUAGUGGCUUACCAAGGCUUUGACGGGUAGCCGGCCUGAGAGGGUGACCGGCCACAUUGGGACUGAGAUACGGCCCAGACUCCUACGGGAGGCAGCAGUGGGGAAUAUUGCACAAUGGGCGGAAGCCUGAUGCAGCAACGCCGCGUGCGGGAUGACGGCCUUCGGGUUGUAAACCGCUUUCGCCUGUGACGAAGCGUGAGUGACGGUAAUGGGUAAAGAAGCACCGGCUAACUACGUA
This 467-nucleotide ribosomal RNA is filed under the name uncultured bacterium. RNAcentral's name for it is "partial 16S ribosomal RNA". It matches the Rfam family "Bacterial small subunit ribosomal RNA", at positions 29 to 507 of the family's 1533-position model. The record is from RNAcentral.